CUAGAACAGAUCGUAUCAGGUGCCUGCAAUCUUGCGGGAGAAUCGGGAAGCCGGCGCAAAUCCGGCACGUGCCCAACGCUGUAAGGCGGAUGCACACGCAAGGGGGAGACCCGGCCACUGGUGAACAAGACCGGGAAGGCGGCGUGUGCAGAUGAAGCCAAGUCAGAAGACCGGCCUGAUGAGAUAGACUUGC
Molecule: non-coding RNA, 193 nt
Filed under: Rhizobium sp.
Lineage: Bacteria; Pseudomonadati; Pseudomonadota; Alphaproteobacteria; Hyphomicrobiales; Rhizobiaceae
Also listed under: 1 other name
Source: RNAcentral